UACGUAGGGUGCGAGCGUUAAUCGGAAUUACUGGGCGUAAAGCGUGCGCAGGCGGUGCUGUAAGGCCGAUGUGAAAUCCCCGGGCUUAACCUGGGAACUGCAUUGGUGACUGCAGCGCUGGAGUAUGGCAGAGGGGGGUGGAAUUCCACGUGUAGCAGUGAAAUGCGUAGAGAUGUGGAGGAACACCGAUGGCGAAGGCAGCCCCCUGGGCCAAUACUGACGCUCAUGCACGAAAGCGUGGGGAUCAAACAGG
This 253-nucleotide ribosomal RNA is filed under the name uncultured bacterium. RNAcentral describes it as "partial 16S ribosomal RNA". It matches the Rfam family "Bacterial small subunit ribosomal RNA", at positions 524 to 776 of the family's 1533-position model. The record is from RNAcentral.